CCAAAAACCAAAAUUUUAGGAUAUAAUAUUAUAUUUUAAAAUUUUCUUCUCUUGUCAGCAUCUUCACGUGUCCCGAGCCGAUAUACUUCCAAAACUAAAAGAGUCGUUGCCACAAUCAUGAUUCCUUUCCCGGUCUUCGUGAUGGCGCUGCCCUCGAUUUUCGGGAUUCACUUGAUCAACAAUACUAUUAUAUAUCCACUCUGUCCUUUCUUCUUCUACCUCAAGCCAACCAAGUUUCCCACCACUACAAAUCUGGGCGUCGCCACAAAUUUGGGCAUCCCCACCACUGGUCAUCCUCAACCUUCCCCGCAGAGGCCGAAACUCCAAAGUCAAUCAAUGGCGACCUCCACUUCUGUUCCCGAGGUAUUUUCAUGUCACUGCCUUGUUUAAGCGCUUGUUAGAUCUGAUCUAUUUUCCGCCAUGUUUCUCAUUCCUUCCUUUUUUUGCCUCGAUCCAUAGGUUCUUAGAGACCACAUUUUGAUUCCGCUUAGUGACAUGAAUAAUGCAUUCUUUCUUGGCCCCACGGGUGAUGAGGAUCCCACUGAUUUCAUCACUGCUAAAACCCAAAGGAUUCC
Molecule: long non-coding RNA, 575 nt
Filed under: Setaria viridis
Lineage: Eukaryota; Viridiplantae; Streptophyta; Magnoliopsida; Poales; Poaceae
Description: long non-coding RNA (SVIR_LNC007430)
Source: RNAcentral